Non-coding RNA from Paramuricea clavata, 80 nucleotides. Lineage: Eukaryota; Metazoa; Cnidaria; Anthozoa; Malacalcyonacea; Plexauridae. The record is from the annotation of a GenBank genome assembly.
UACUAGCCCAAUGCUCUUCCAACUGAGCUACUCGAACCGUCCUGACCGCGUAGCUCAGUUGGAAGAGCAUUGGGCUAGUA